Molecule: long non-coding RNA, 200 nt
Filed under: Lathyrus oleraceus (garden pea)
Lineage: Eukaryota; Viridiplantae; Streptophyta; Magnoliopsida; Fabales; Fabaceae
Description: Pisum sativum (pea) long non-coding RNA (PSAT_LNC028228)
Source: RNAcentral
GGCAGCAGAUUCCCUGGUUGAUCUCGAAAGAAGAUUUCCCGUUUAACCUUAGCAACAUGUAUUUUUCUCAUUGAAUCUCGACAGAAGAUUCCCUGGCUAACCUCGACAGUAGAUUCCCCAGUAGACCUCGAUAGUAGGUAUAUCUCUCUCAUUGAAUCUCGACAGUAGAUUCCCUGGUUGAUCUCGGCAGAAGAUUUCCC